UGAGAAGUUCCUACAUCAGACACCUGACUAGCUUCCUGUAUUUGGACCAUCUCUCCUUUUACUGCAUUGUCUUAAAUGUUGUUGCUGGCCUUUAUGUUUUGGAAUUACUUCUCUCCGCAGAGAGAUGUGGAAAGAACAGCUGCCAAAGAGCCCCAUCCUUACCAUGUUCCUAAAUAACUUGUGAUGAGCAGGUGUCCUUAUUGAGAUCCUUAGUCACUGUUUCUGUCACAGUUGCUGUAAAUGAGAGUGCUUGAACUGGAAGGCCCAUCUGCUGAAAACAGAGUGGGUGGAUGGCAAAACCACCUUCUGGCCACUCUGUGCUCAUCCCUGCGGCAGCUCUGGGCUGGCUGUGUUGGCUUUGGCGUCAGCGGGAGGUUGUUGAGCACUCUGUGAGAUGCCAGAUCUGAUGGGCAGGGUGGGGCUAAACAGUGCCAGGUGAAAAACAAGGUGAGGGAGGAAGAAGACAAUGGAAGGCGCCGAAAAACUCGUAGGAUGAUGUGGCAUAAGUGACAAGUCACAGGGAAGGAUAGCAGGACUGUUUCAGACAGGCUUGCAGAGUGGCUGCCAGGGCCUUGUAUGAGGUGACAGCUUGCAAGAACCAAGAACUGGUACGUUCCACCCUUCCUUCUUUGGCUUGAUAAGAGGUUGUUGCAUGACAGAAGGAAAAGGUUGAACCUUUGAUUUGUAGAUAGGAAGGUAUAUAAAGGCAUAUAGUAAGAAAGAGGUAGCAAGGAUGCACCAUGAGUGCUUCUUCAUGUGUUUCCAACUAGGUGUCCAAGAGGAGCAGUCUCCCCAGUCUUCUACAUGUAUUUCUAUUUCAUUCAAAGGUACUUGGUGAGUUGGAGGUCUGAUGGGCCAAGUUGAGCUAAGGGGGGAAUUGCCCUCGGGUCUGAAAGCUCAUCCAAAAAACUAUUCCCAGGAAUCUGGCAGAACAAGCAGGAGGAGAACAGAGUUGUUCCUAACAGAACUAACCAGAUGAACAUUCAGGCUCAGAAGGGAGAAGAAAGGGUUGUCCAGUCAUGGAAACAGCCUUUAACAUCGCUGUUUUUCCUAGCAGUGGGAGAGAGCAGGUGGAGGCUGAGGCCCAUGUGCGUGAUGAUACUGUUCAGGGUUAAUCCUGAGACUGACGUUCUUGUGAGAAGCUUGAUUUAUGGGUACCCAGCAAGGGUGGGAGCCGCUGUCUUUCCCUCCAGGCUGGCAUUGUUCGCCUCGUGCUAUGUAUAUAUAACAUGGGCUGGUACUGCCAAGGAAUGCGACAUGUUUUCUCUGGGAUUUCCACAUGGAAUGUCAUGUAUUUCCUUCAAAUCUCCUCUCCCUGAGUGAAACGGAAGUUAAUCUGGAGGACAGGGGAGGUCUUUCCUCUUGGACAUGUAGGCAGGGAGACGCAAUGAGAAUUUCUUUGAUUUAAACCAUUUUCCUUGCUAUGUCUUUGCUUAGAGUCUGCAGUCUGGCAAUGGCCAAAACCAGAUAAAGCCUCUGAUAGUUCUUUAAAUAAAAAACUUAUUCUUUGCACACAGGAAUCAUCUCUUAGCCUGAAUAUGCGGUGCAGUAGCUUACAUGGGAGUGUUUUCAGUGCAGUAAGCAGUCAGCUCUCAAGGCCAGGUGACCAGCACAGUCUCUGCUAGCAUCUUUUUGCAGUAGGACAGAGUGAUGGGAGAGCAGCACCGCUGGGAAUAAAAGAGCAAUGCCAUAAACUUUGCAUAACCAAAUGCCAGCCUCUCAGAAGAGUGUUUAGAGGAAAACCUUUGUUUUCGCUUCAAGAAUAUCAGAUAAUCCCUCCACUUCAGAUUUUUAUAUGCAGGAUCAAAGUAUCCCAAAGUGCUCUAUUUUUAAUUAAAAAAAUAAUACCUGCGGAACUAA
Tyto alba (common barn owl) is the source of this 1860-nucleotide long non-coding RNA. RefSeq lists it as uncharacterized. Lineage: Eukaryota; Metazoa; Chordata; Aves; Strigiformes; Tytonidae. The record is from RefSeq and is a predicted model, not a curated record. The transcript is spliced from 2 exons.